GGGGGGGGGUGGUUAUGUUUUGGUCCUUUGCCUUCUCCGGGACGCUAUGUGUUUAUUUUCCCUCUGAUGUGUGAGAUAGGCAGCCCCAACACACACACACUUCUUCAAAGACUCUGAUCGGUUAGCAAGUGUUUUAGAGGCUUCAACUUUGCAACACAGACACACACAGGCAGAUGGCCUUGUGGCUUAAACACACCUGCUGGCAUCAUUAAACAAAUGCGCAGCAUACGAUCCGAGGGCCCAGGCAAAUGUACCCAAAGUGUGUGUGUGUCUGUCUGUGUGUGUGUCUGUCUGUGUGUGUGUGUCUGUGUGUGUGUGUGUGUGUGUGUGUCAAGACUGAUUGCCAUAAGCUCUAUCGUGAGGCUGCAUUCUCCAGCUGCACUACACUACUCCUCUCCAGUAUUCUUUUUCUUUCUCAUGCACGCAAGCUCGCACACACAUACUCUUUGGACAGGUGUUUGUCUCUUUAAGGUGUUCGAUAUCCAUACGGUUUCCUUUGUGCUCCUGACUGAAGCCUCAUUCUGUCUGUGUGUGUGUGUGUGUGUGUGUGUGUGUGUGUGUUUCCCCCUACUGGCUGCCUGUGGUAAUGACGAAGACGAGCUCACCUGGAGCAACCCCACCCCCCCCCCCCCCCCAGCAGCACAUAAACAACCCUCUCCUCUCAUACUGUACCUGUUGAGAACCAGAGGGAGGGCCUGUGUUCACUGAUGAAUUAAGCUGCUAAAAGUGUGUGUGUGUGUGUGUGUGUGUGUGUUGGGUUAAUGGCAUGGCCUGCUGUGUUCCUCGGUCUCCCAUACUCGCACCUUCCCCAAAGUCAGAAGCUCAUCUACAGUGUUCUCUCUACUAUGUCCUUAUAUAUGUCCUGUGUGUGUGUGUGUGUGUGUGUGUGUGUGUGUGUGUGUGUGUGUGUGUGUGUGUGUGUGUGUGUGUGUGUGUGUGUGUGUGUGUGUGUGUGUGUGUGUGUGUGUGUGUGUGUGUGUGUCACUCUCGCCUCACCUGAACCCCCAUGCAACCCUCUAUCAGCAGCGACCAAUGGUGACGUUCUGUUCCUGUAGUGAUGGCAAGCGCCUGCUGCUGAUUGGCCAUUUGUUUGGGUAGUAUUGAUGUCUUGGACCGUAACGAUGGCACCCCUCUGCUCACGUCGUCUACCUGCCCUGCCACAGGGGGGCGCUAUCUCCCUCUGACUUGCCUAGAAACAGGUGCUUCAAAGCCUCAAGUGUUACAGGGACUCGGCCCGUCAGCGUGUGCUUUAGGUGGUGGCUGACUUUCUAUUCUACAAGGGUCCCAUUCUGUGUAUGUGUGUGUGUGUGUGUGUUUUGUGUGUGUGUUUUGAGCCAAGCUCACAGCACAUUUGUGUAGCAGGGAUUGCCAAAUAUGCCCCGUGAAGACUGAGUACAGUCACCAAGUCUCAAGUCUGUGUGUGUGUGUGUGUGUGUGUGUGUGUUCUGUUCAUGAUUAGCAGUGUUCUUGUGGGUCCUCCCACUAUCCCAUUCAGAGAGGUUGUGUGUGUGUGUGAGUGUGAGAGAAACUCCCAGCCCUCCUCUGCCACCCCCACUUACUUCUUGUGCUUGUUGCCACUCAGAGUGUUUGGUUAUUGCCCCCGUUUUGCCCCCCCUCCCCUUAUGAUUGCACUAGAGGCCCAUAUGGCACUUGUGUCCCAGUCAGCCCCAGUCAAUCCAGAGUCCACUUAUUACCCCUCUCCUCCAGACACCUCACAGGGUAGGGUUGGAGGGUGGCUACGUUCACACAAAUAAGACCAGUAAUGUUUAUAUUGUACAGGAUAGGAAUGAUUGUAUAGAAGAUAUGAGGCUUUUUUUUUUUUAACCUGGCGGAGGGAAUGCAGGUGAUGACGACAUAGCCUUCCUUUUUUUUAUGAAGAAAAUCAAAAAGAGACGGUGUAUUUAAAAAAAAAAAAAGAAACACAACAAAAAAUAUAAAUAAAUAAAUCAUAUUUUCAGGGAUCAUUAAGAAAAGAAGACGUAGAGGGGUGGAUUCACUGAACGUUUAAAGGAGACAAAACUAAAGGUUCAUCUUGUACAGAACACCCGAUCUGAAAACCUUCCCUUUGAAAGAUUGUUUCUUGUAGAAACGUCUUCUUUCGGCCCCAUUUCUUGUUUUGGUUUUGUUUUCUUUCUAAUCUUAAAGUGUAAAUACUUUAACUGUGAAUAUAAAUAUAUAUAUUUUUUUGUUCUUGAGGAUGUGCUGCAGAGAUACAGCUCAGAGAUGUGUUGGUGUGUGUGAGUUUGUGUGUGUGUGUGUGUGUGUGUGUACACACAUGUAUGUAUGUGUGUGUGUGUGUGUGAGUGAGAGAGAGCGAGACGGCGUAGGAACAGCACGGAGCUGGAGGCAGUCAUUUCAGCUUGUGUCAAGCUUUAUUUUUUAUUUUGGGUUGUAAAUUCUAUGAAGACUUGUUUGCAGUGUGGGAAACCAGAGCAUUACGAUGCAGAAUUGGCCAGGGGACCGGGCGGCUUCACCUCCUAGCCCCUGGUCUAUUUAUUACACCAUCAAGUUUAUCGCGAGAAAAAAAAUCAUGAAAAAUAAAGUCAUUUUU
Sardina pilchardus (European sardine) is the source of this 2551-nucleotide long non-coding RNA. RefSeq lists it as uncharacterized. Lineage: Eukaryota; Metazoa; Chordata; Actinopteri; Clupeiformes; Clupeidae. The transcript is spliced from 2 exons. The record is from RefSeq and is a predicted model, not a curated record.